Molecule: ribosomal RNA, 245 nt
Filed under: uncultured bacterium
Lineage: Bacteria
Description: partial small subunit ribosomal RNA
Rfam family: Bacterial small subunit ribosomal RNA
Source: RNAcentral
AGAAUCAACGCUGGCGGCGUGCCUAACACAUGCAAGUCGAACGAGAAAGUGGAGCAAUCCAUGAGUAAGGUGGCGACCGGGUGAGUAACACGUGACUAACCUACCUUUCAGUGGGGAAUAACCUCGGGAAACCGGGGCUAAUACCGCAUAAUGUCUACGGACCAAAGGAGCAAUUCGCUGGAAGAGGGGGUCGCGGCCGAUUAGCUAGUUGGCGGGGUAACGCCCACCAAGGCAAUGAUCGGUAG